RNAcentral lists this ribosomal RNA (301 nucleotides) under uncultured bacterium. RNAcentral's name for it is "partial 16S ribosomal RNA". It matches the Rfam family "Bacterial small subunit ribosomal RNA", at positions 509 to 809 of the family's 1533-position model. The record is from RNAcentral.
CAGUAGCCGCGGGAAUACGAGGGGGGCAAGCGUUGUUCGGAAUUAUUGGGCGUAAAGGGUGCGUAGGCGGUUUGAUAAGUCAUCUGUGAAAUCUAUGGGCUCAACCCAUAGUCUGCAGGCGAAACUGUCGGGCUUGAGAGUGGGAGAGGUGAGUGGAAUUUCCGGUGUAGCGGUGAAAUGCGUAGAUAUCGGAAGGAACACCUGUGGCGAAAGCGGCUCACUGGACCAUUUCUGACGCUGAUGCACGAAAGCUUGGGGAGCAAACAGGAUUAGAUACCCCAGUAGUCCCUGUCUCUUAUAA